GGAGCUGUUACCUGGAGAUGUUCAGAUACAAAGGAAAACUAGAAAAUACGUGAGGGAAUAUUUGCUGGGAAAUUACUUGGUUGGAACCUGACCAAUUGACGAAUACUAACAGCAUCCUGGGAGUUGACGAAUACUAACAGACCUACAAAUGUCACUGGCUAGCAACGUAAUUUUUAAAUGAGGGGUCGCUGUCUUUCCAUUGAAAGAGGCCAGUUUGCUGUGACCUUCCUAAGAUGUAACCCAUUUCUGGUUAAUACCACCAGAUUUACUUGUGAAAAAUCGAUAAGGAAAAGCUCUUCAUUUAACUGACAUGGGAAGAAAACCUACAAAUCAAGACAAUAUUUUUUUAUUUCUGUAAACAGGUUAUGAAACCGCAUCAAAUUCAGAUUAAUGUAUUUGUAAGAUUUAAGCCAUUACUUUUUAUGUCAUACUGCCCUAGAGAAUCCUAACCUGUUAAGCAGAUUACUUUGUAGAUCUAUUUCUAUUUUAAAUACAGGAAUGCAAAGGAAGGUACAUAUUUUUAAUGGAGAAGUCUUUGAUUUCAGUUAACCAGACUUGUAAUCAGCUUAUUGUGAAUGUUUCACCUUUGGCCACCUGUUUGAAUUUAAAAUCUACGAUUGUAAUUAAAGCUGAGUGAAAAUUUA
Molecule: long non-coding RNA, 644 nt
Organism: Leopardus geoffroyi (Geoffroy's cat)
Lineage: Eukaryota; Metazoa; Chordata; Mammalia; Carnivora; Felidae
Exons: 2
Source: RefSeq, a predicted model, not a curated record